RNAcentral lists this ribosomal RNA (468 nucleotides) under uncultured bacterium. RNAcentral's name for it is "partial 16S ribosomal RNA". It matches the Rfam family "Bacterial small subunit ribosomal RNA", at positions 28 to 507 of the family's 1533-position model. The record is from RNAcentral.
GACGAACGCUGGCGGCGUGCUUAACACAUGCAAGUCGAACGGAAAGGCCCUGCUUUUGUGGGGUGCUCGAGUGGCGAACGGGUGCGUAACACGUGAGUAACCUGCCCUUGACUUUGGGAUAACUUCAGGAAACUGGGGCUAAUACCGGAUAGGAGCUCCUGUUGCAUGGUGGGGGUUGGAAAGUUUCGGCGGUUGGGGAUGGACUCGCGGCUUAUCAGCUUGUUGGUGGGGGAGUGGCUUACCAAGGCUUUGACGGGUAGCCGGCCUGGGAGGGUGACCGGCGACAUUGGGACUGAGAUACGGCCCAGACUCCUACAGGAGGCAGCAGUGGGGAAUAUUGCACAAUGGGCGGAAGCCGGAGGCAGCAACGCCGCGUGCGGGAUGACGGCCUUCGGGUUGUAAACCGCUUUCGCCUGUGACGAAGCGUGAGUGACGGUAAUGGAUGAAGAAGCACCGGCUAACUACGUG